GAUGAACGCUGGCGGCGUGCCUAAUACAUGCAAGUCGAGCGAACAGACGAGGAGCUUGCUCCUCUGACGUUAGCGGCGGACGGGUGAGUAACACGUGGAUAACCUACCUAUAAGACUGGGAUAACUUCGGGAAACCGGAGCUAAAACCGGAUAAUAUAUUGAACCGCAUGGUUCAAUAGUGAAAGACGGUUUUGCUGUCACUUAUAGAUGGAUCCGCGCCGCAUUAGCUAGUUGGUAAGGUAACGGCUUACCAAGGCAACGAUGCGUAGCCGACCUGAGAGGGUGAUCGGCCACACUGGAACUGAGACACGGUCCAGACUCCUACGGGAGGCAGCAGUAGGGAAUCUUCCGCAAAGGGCGAAAGCUUGACGGAGCAACGCCGCGUGAGUGAUGAAGGUCUUCGGAUCGUAAAACUCUGUUAUUAGGGAAGAACAAAUGUGUAAGUAACUAUGCACGUCUUGACGGUACCUAAUCAGAAAGCCACGGCUAACUACGUG
Molecule: ribosomal RNA, 497 nt
Filed under: uncultured bacterium
Lineage: Bacteria
Description: partial 16S ribosomal RNA
Rfam family: Bacterial small subunit ribosomal RNA
Source: RNAcentral